CCGUACCUUCCCCCUCACUCGCUGACCCUCCCUCUCUCUCACUUACUCACUGUCCCUCCGUCCCUUGCAGCUGGAGGUGUUUAACAUCCUGUUUGUGACGAGCGAGAACAGCAGUCGGAAAUCCUACAUAGUGCACUGUGAGGAGUGUGCCCGUCAGCGAACCCCCCCAUUGCAGAAUGUGGUCAUCCUGGAGCAGUAUAAGAUUGAAGACCUGGUGCAGGUCUAUGACCAUUUCACUUUGGCGCCUCAGUCUAGCUCCUCCAGAUGACGAGAUCUUCAAAAGCCAUACCAAAUGCUUCUCACUGUUCGAGGUUCCUCUCCAGUCCAAUGGCACUGCAACCCUCUGCCCCCGCCAAACACCCCUGCCAUGGACUGUCCAACCAGCGACUGGGCUCGCCCAAUCACUAUGCGGAUCUUUGCAUCAGCCAAUCAACUAUGUGUUUACUCAACCUUAUCAUCAGCAGCUGCAGCUGCUGAUUGGCCGCGCAAGGUGGAAUAACAAGAUGGCCGCCUCCUCAGGUGGAACAACAAAAUGGCCGCCCCUCCCCUUCCCCGCAUUUGGCGACACCAAGGCGGCCAAUUGGCAGUUAAUGUUCUCGAACCUCUGUCACUUGACACUGCAGCAAAUACCACUUUGGCCUUCGAAGAUGGGAAGAGGAAGAGAAAGAAAAUGGAAUUAAAAAUAAACUUUUUCCUAUCAAAAAAAAUGUAAGCAUUAAGAAGUGGUUUUGGAUUGCUAAAUACGGGUUAUAGCAAGAAUUAUUUUUGUUGUAGCUUCUUGUAUGUGUUUCUAUGUAUGGUGUCACUUUAAUUUAGACAUACGAUCCCACAGUGAAAUUUCCACAUUUUAAAUUAUCAAUCACAUCAUCAUUCAAUUUACCUCCAUUUUUUAAAAAGUUUUUUUUCUAAUGUACAGUUUUGGUUUUAUUUAUGAAAUUCUCUAUUUAUUCACUCUAAUUGUCUCCCCUAAGGUGUCACAUUUUUAAAAAUUGUUUUGUUAAGGAAAACGCUUCUAACUACAAGGUUGGUGUGCUAGACUUUUUCUGUCUGUCUCACGCUUUCUCAUACUGUCUCUCACUUUCUCUGAUUCUUCUGCUCUGUCUCUCUCUCUCUGUCCCUCCUUGUCACAUCUAUCUUCUCUCCUUUGGCAUCUCCCUCCCUUACCCCAUUCCCCUAGCCGUGUCUCUCUUCCAUCGUUCCCUAUCCCUCUAUUUCUUAUUUUUCCUUGUUAUCUGUCUGUCUGUCUCUCUCUCUCUGUCUCUCUCUCUCUCUCUCUCCCUCCUUUUCUUCUGUUCCUCACUGGCCUUGCCUUUAUUCCAUUCCCAGGUGAUUAGGAGCAGCUGAGAACUCAAUAUGAGUGAGUUUGUUUUCCUGAAUUGUGUGCUAUUUUAAUUCUAAUUAAAAUUUUGCUCGGGGCUUUUUUAAGAACACGAGGUUACAUUUUAAGACGGAGUUGGAGGGUAGUUUUUUUUUGGUUUUUUUUUUGGAUUUUAUGAUGAGAAUAUUGUUUUGGAGUUGACUGCACUGUUUGAGACAAACUGAGCCAGAACUGUCUUAACUUUGUGAAUUUGUGUGACAUGAAUAAUAAAGCUUUUGAUAAACUUUA
Long non-coding RNA from Rhincodon typus (whale shark), 1606 nucleotides. RefSeq lists it as uncharacterized. NCBI's taxonomy places the organism in Eukaryota, Metazoa, Chordata, Chondrichthyes, Orectolobiformes, Rhincodontidae. The record is from RefSeq and is a predicted model, not a curated record. The transcript is spliced from 2 exons.